AUUCAACUGACGAGUUCGAAAUAGGACGAAACACAUGUCAUGAAU
This 45-nucleotide non-coding RNA is filed under the name Schistosoma mattheei. The record is from RNAcentral. Lineage: Eukaryota; Metazoa; Platyhelminthes; Trematoda; Strigeidida; Schistosomatidae.